CUUCCACAACAAUAUAGCCUUCUGCCUUGUCAAAGGCUUCGGCCAAGCUCUUCGGAUGGUGGAACAUCAACUUCUUCACCAACUUCUCGGACUUUACCAGAUCCAGCCCAUUCUGGAACAAACCUACAGCCUGGAGGUCAUUGAGGUCGGACACCUGACCGACUGCUUCUCUGAACCUCUUUACAUACUGGCCCAAAGAUUCGCUGGUAAAUUGCCGGAUCUGUGCCAGAGAACCCGUAGGCUUUCCUCUUCUUCGGUUACUCCCAAAACGGGCAUGAAACUUAUCACAAAGCUCGGUCCAAGAGGAUAUCGAAUCUGACGGCAAAGUUCCCAUCCACUGUCUCGCAUCU
Molecule: long non-coding RNA, 350 nt
Filed under: Panax ginseng (ginseng)
Lineage: Eukaryota; Viridiplantae; Streptophyta; Magnoliopsida; Apiales; Araliaceae
Description: long non-coding RNA (PGIN_LNC015372)
Source: RNAcentral